Conger conger (European conger) is the source of this 552-nucleotide long non-coding RNA. RefSeq lists it as uncharacterized. The record is from RefSeq and is a predicted model, not a curated record. NCBI's taxonomy places the organism in Eukaryota, Metazoa, Chordata, Actinopteri, Anguilliformes, Congridae. The transcript is spliced from 3 exons.
GGUCCUAUCCAGCAACACAGAGGGAUUCAGAAGGUCUCAUGACAAACAACUAUCUCUACUUUAUUCCCUAACCAAUUCCUUUUGUCUGAGGAUGCUUCACGUUGUGUGAUUUGCAGGUGGCCCGUUCUGUGCUGUAGAGUGAAGAAGGUGUGUGUCAGCUCUGAAGAGGUCACCGGCUCCGGUCCGAUUGGGUUUCUGGCAGAUAAAGACCACACCUCUCUGUACAUGGGGGUGCCGGUGAACAGCCCGGUGCCACAUUCCUCUCUGGAUGAAGCACUGUCGUUCUGGGCUAGCCUGUCUCCCCCUGGGCUCUCCAACACGGCCGAGCAUCUGACUUCCAUCCUGCAGCCGUACAGCAGCACGAGCUCUGCUGCCCUGCCGGGUGUGUGCAGUCUCCUGCUGUCAGGCCCCAGGGGGAGCGGGAAAACCACAGUGCUCAGAGUGGCCUGUCGUAGGUUACACCAGCACCUGGUACAGGUAACAUUCCACACACACUAUGCACCUGGUACAGGUAACAUUCCACACACACUAUGCACCUGGUACAGGUAACAU